GACGAACGCUGGCGGCGUGCUUAACACAUGCAAGUCGAACGGAAAGGCCCUGCUUUUGUGGGGUGCUCGAGUGGCGAACGGGUGAGUAACACGUGAGUAACCUGCCCUUGACUUUGGGAUAACUUCAGGAAACUGGGGCUAAUACCGGAUAGGAGCUCCUGCUCCAUGGUGGGGGUUGGAAAGUUUCGGCGGUUGGGGAUGGACUCGCGGCUUAUCAGCUUGUUGGUGGGGUAGUGGCUUACCAAGGCUUUGACGGGUAGCCGGCCUGAGAGGGUGACCGGCCUCAUUGGGACUGAGAUACGGCGCAGACUGCUACGGGAGGCAGCAGUGGGGAAUAUUGCACAAUGGGCGGAAGCCUGAUGCAGCAACGCCGCGUGCGGGAUGACGGCCUUCGGGUUGUAAACCGCUUUCGCCUGUGACGAAGCGUGAGUGACGGUAAUGGGUAAAGAAGCACCGGCUAACUACGUG
This 468-nucleotide ribosomal RNA is filed under the name uncultured bacterium. RNAcentral's name for it is "partial 16S ribosomal RNA". It matches the Rfam family "Bacterial small subunit ribosomal RNA", at positions 28 to 507 of the family's 1533-position model. The record is from RNAcentral.